This 433-nucleotide ribosomal RNA is filed under the name uncultured bacterium. RNAcentral's name for it is "partial 16S ribosomal RNA". It matches the Rfam family "Bacterial small subunit ribosomal RNA", at positions 31 to 507 of the family's 1533-position model. The record is from RNAcentral.
AAAGAAGGAGGGAGGCAUGCCUAACACAUGCAAGUCGAACGAGACCUUCGGGUCUAGUGGCGCACGGGUGCGUAACGCGUGGGAACCUGCCCUUAGGUUCGGAAUAACUCCCCGACAGGGGUGCUAAUACCGGAUAAUGUCUUCGGACCAAAGAUUUAUCGCCUUUGGAUGGGCCCGCGUUGGAUUAGCUAGUUGGUAGGGUAAAAGCCUACCAAGGCGACGAUCCAUAGCUGGUCUGAGAGGAUGAUCAGCCACACUGGGACUGAGACACGGCCCAGACUCCUGCGGGAGGCAGCAGUGGGGAAUAUUGGACAAUGGGCGAAAGCCUGAUCCAGCAAGGCCGCGUGAGUGAUGAAGGCCUUAGGGUUGUAAAGCUCUUUUACCCGGGAUGAUAAUGACAGUACCGGGAGAAUAAGCUCCGGCUAACUCCGUG